CGUCGGUUUCCCUCAGCCGGUUGCACCGCCCGCAGUUUCUGGCCACCAUCCAUGUUACCAUGGACAUUUGGGUUACCAAGCCGUUCCUGGUUAUGCCAUUCUUGAGGGAAGACCUUUUCAAGAAGCCCGUCUUCCUUGCUGUGGCAUUGGCAUGGGUUGGUUCUUGUUUAUGAUUGGCUUCUUUCUUGGUGGCAUUCCCUGGUAUGUUGGAGCUUUUAUCGUACUCUUUGUUCGGGUGGAUUACCGAGAAAAACCUGGAUAUGUUGCAUGUGCAAUUGCUUCAGUUCUUGCCGUCGUUGCUAUUACGUUUGGGAUCACCAAAGGAGUUGACCCCUGGUGAAUGAGACAUAUGCAGAAUGGUCUGGCUUGCCGUGUCACCCCCCUGCAUCGACGAAAACAACGGUUGGGAUACUGUAAUUAGCUUUGAAAUUGUUAUUCUGUCAGCUUCUAUUUAUCAACUUAUUGGCUUCCUUUACCAUAUACCGACAUCUUCCUGACUUGCCAAAUAUGGAAUGAAAUGUUAAUAGAUCGAAGUCAAAAUUAUUAGCUUUAUUGGAAGGUUUUUUCUCUUUUCUUUUUAGUUUUAAAUAGCUAUAAGUGUCAG
Molecule: unclassified non-coding RNA, 604 nt
Filed under: Hevea brasiliensis (rubber tree)
Lineage: Eukaryota; Viridiplantae; Streptophyta; Magnoliopsida; Malpighiales; Euphorbiaceae
Source: RNAcentral